Molecule: long non-coding RNA, 1029 nt
Organism: Acipenser ruthenus (sterlet)
Lineage: Eukaryota; Metazoa; Chordata; Actinopteri; Acipenseriformes; Acipenseridae
Exons: 3
Source: RefSeq, a predicted model, not a curated record
UUUCCAGUGUAAAGGCCGGGGCUGUGUGAUCACAGCCCAGCUCUGUCAGGCCAUGGUGAAGUGGACAGUGCUGGUGUAGCUGGACUGCACGGCACCACUUCCCCUCGUUGGCACUGAUGUGAGAUCACAGGGACCUGAGACUCCGAUUGGGCAGCGGGCAGGAAUUAUUCUGCCAGCUGGCGGCCGUUGCCAGGAGCUGCAGCCUUUUUCUUGAACCAACAGCACUCACUCGUAGAACCACCAUUGCUCACUCCAGCAGACUAGCACAGCAAGAAAAUUAGCAGGAGCACAAAAAAAGAAAUCCACGUAUCUGUUUUUUUUUUUAUUAUUUAAAGAGUCAUUUCAGAGGCGGGGGGUGUGCAGGAAGCGAGAAGCGGGAGAGUCUCUGUGACGGCUGCACUGUUAACAAGGAUGUUUAUGUGCAUUUAAUUAAAAAAAAAAAAAGAAAUCCUGAAACAAAACAAAACCGGCAGAUGCAAAGCUGCCAAAGACGUGUUAAAUGAUUACCCAGGACGGGAAAAGUCAGGCACGCAGUACCUGGGACGGGUGCCAAGUGCCGACAAAAGACACCAGUGCAUGCUCAGAAGCAACGCUCUCAUUUCUGUUUUAAAGCAGCGAUCACUUAGAGUAGCUCAGCUUUAAUAUCUGCAGCACAGCUCCGGCGAACACGGGGCACAGAAACGUGUUGUGGAGUCCGCGCCCAAGCGCCGCCAUGACCCCCGUCAGCUUCAGCUAGCAGAGAUCCCCACCCGAGCGCUUCAAAAGCUGCACAGGAAUGGGCCUUUGCUGGGCCGGGUUGGCUCCAGUUAUGAUGCUGUCCUUGGGGCUGAGGUAGUAGAUUGAAUAGUUGUGGAGUAUGCGUUGUCCCUCUGAGAUAACUAUACAAUCUACUGUCUUUCCUAAGGAGACAGUCGAAUCGCCUGCCAACGAAGAAGGACUUCACAGCUCAGCGGCAUUUCGGUCAUUGCAGUCUUGUCUUAUUGCUUUGUAACUAAACUUGUAUGUAUCGUUAUGUUGUGACUUGGGGGG